This 460-nucleotide ribosomal RNA is filed under the name uncultured bacterium. RNAcentral describes it as "partial 16S ribosomal RNA". It matches the Rfam family "Bacterial small subunit ribosomal RNA", at positions 338 to 795 of the family's 1533-position model. The record is from RNAcentral.
CCUACGGGUGGCCGCAGUGAGGAAUAUUGGUCAAUGGGCGCGAGCCUGCACCAGCCAAGUAGCGUGAAGGAUGACUGCCCUACGGGUUGUAAACUUCUUUUAUAAAGGAAUAAAGUGAGGCACGUGUGCCUUUUUGUAUGUAUUUUAUUCAUAAGGAUCGGCUAACUCCGUGCCAGCAGCCGCGGUAAUACGGAGGAUCCGAGCGUUAUCCGGAUUUAUUGGGUUUAAAGGGAGCGUAGAUGGGUUGUUCAGUCAGUUGUGAAAGGUUGCGGCUCACCCGUAAAAUUGCAAUUGAUACUGGCAGCAUUGAGUACAGUUGAGGUAGGCGGAAUUCGUGGGGUAGCGGUGAAAUGCGUAGAUAUCAAGAAGAACGCCGAUUGCGAAGGCAGCCUACUAAACUGCCACUGACAUUGAUGCUCGAAGGUGUGGGUAGCAAACAGGAUUAGAUACUCUUGUAGUC